UAAAUACCCGAGUAGUCCUAGCUGUAAACGCUGCGAGCAAGGUGUUGCAUAUUCUUCGUGGAUAUGCAGUGUCGAAACGAAGGUGUUAAGCUCGCCGCCUGGGAAGUAUAGUCGCAAGGCCGAAACUUAAAGGAAUUGGCGGGGGAGCACCACAAGGGGUGCGGCGUGCGGUUUAAUCCAAUUCAACGCGGAAAAUCUUACCAAGGGCGACGGCAGGAUGAAAGUCAGGUUAAAGACUUUACUUGACGAGCCGAGAGGUAGUGCAUGGCCGCCGUCAGCUCGUGCCGUAAGGUGUCCUGUUAAGUCAGGCAACGAGCGAGACCUGUGCGUACAAUUGCUAACGACUCUUUCAGAGGAUCGAGCACAUUGUGCGAACUGCCCGUGAAAAUGGGAGGAAGGUGCAGGCUACGGUAGGUCUGUAUGCUCCGAAUCCUUUGGGCUACACGCGCGCAACAAUGGUAUGGACAAUGGGAUGCAACUCCGAAAGGAGAAGCUAAACCUCUAAACCAUAUCCUAGUCCAGAUUGAGGGCUGUAACUUGCCCUCAU
RNAcentral lists this ribosomal RNA (547 nucleotides) under uncultured archaeon. Its description in RNAcentral is "bacterial SSU rRNA". It matches the Rfam family "Archaeal small subunit ribosomal RNA", at positions 730 to 1277 of the family's 1478-position model. The record is from RNAcentral.